GUCUUUUUGCAUAAAUAAAAAGUCUGACCUGCCCACUGAGAUUUAAAUGGCCGCAGUAUCCUAACUGUGCAAAGGUAGCAUAAUCAUUAGUCUUUUAAUUGAAGGCUUGUAUGAACGGUUGGACGAAAUAUAAGCUGUCUUAUGAUGAUUUAUUAAAGAACUUUAUUUUUUAGUGAAAAAGCUAAAAUUUUAUUAAAAGACGAGAAGACCCUAUAAAUCUUUAUUAUCUAUUUCAUAUUUUUUAUAAAGAUUUUUUAGGAAAAUAUAUGAUGGAUAAUUUUAUUGGGGUGAUAUUAAAAUUUAAAAAACUUUUAAUUUAAAAAAUCAUAGAUGAAUGAAUUCUUGAUCCACUAUUUGUGAUUAUAAAAUUAAGUUACUUUAGGGAUAACAGCGUAAUUUUUUUGGAGAGUUCAUAUCGAUAAAAAAGAUUGCGACCUCGAUGUUGGAUUAAGGUAUAUUUUUAGGCGCAGCAGUUUAAAUAAUAAGUCUGUUCGACUUUUAAUUCCUU
RNAcentral lists this ribosomal RNA (508 nucleotides) under Hoplodictya acuticornis. RNAcentral's name for it is "partial 16S ribosomal RNA". It matches the Rfam family "Bacterial large subunit ribosomal RNA", at positions 1819 to 2597 of the family's 2925-position model. The record is from RNAcentral. Lineage: Eukaryota; Metazoa; Arthropoda; Insecta; Diptera; Sciomyzidae.